GGAGAUCAAGAAUUAAGGGCCUCAAGUUGUCUCUUCAAAUCUUCAAGAUCAUCCAAGGAUGGGGCUCCGGAUUCUGUAGGAGGCGGAUGCUGUGAUUCAUCUGCAUUUGGAAGCUCACGAACAAGACCUUCCGGAAGGGCGUCUGAACUGGUUAUUCCCACAAUUUCAAUCUCAACUUCGUCAACAACACUUAUGUUCCAU
RNAcentral lists this unclassified non-coding RNA (201 nucleotides) under Hevea brasiliensis (rubber tree). The record is from RNAcentral. Lineage: Eukaryota; Viridiplantae; Streptophyta; Magnoliopsida; Malpighiales; Euphorbiaceae.